GUAAAAAACUCCACCAAACUCACUUUUUUGUAUCGAAUGCUACAUUUUUUAUGCCACCCGGCCUUGUAAUAAGUCACUUCUGCCACUUUUAAAGGACUUUUUGAAGGAAAAAUGAAGGAAUAAUGAGGAGUUUGACGCGUUUCUUGGCCGCUGCUGUUUGGAUCCAGCUGACCAGUUGGAAAAGUUGUGGGUUCCAUUAAUGCUCGGGGCCAAAGAGGAGGAAGAACACGGUCAGGUUUGUUGACUCCAAGGCAUCGGGGGUAAAUGAAGAGAUUGCUGAUACCAGGAACAGCUACACAAAUAUUGUGGACAGCCGCUCUGCUCCCCUACUGUCCUCCGCUAUGCCAGCAGCCAGGACCAGGUGAGAUGACACCCCCAUAUCUCUCUCACUGCUGGAAUGUCAAGGGGUGUGCUGUUGAGCCAGACGGAGCUGCCACUCACUGUGUUGCUGGCUGUGUGUGUUUGUGUGCUGGGAUGUGUGGGGGUUUGGCAGCCGUCGUCCUCGGUGGGAGACAGGAGAGGGGACAGGUGCAGGGUCUGGCUGUGUCCACUGUCCCUGCUGGAUCUGCUUCUUUCUCACACUCCACAGUCAAAGACGUUCCUCUCAUUCUCUCCCCACGUUCACUGCAGCUCAUCUCCAGCAGGAAUCGUCUAUUUUCACCGCCUCCUCGCUGUUUCUGCUGCACGGAUUCUUCUUACACAGCAAAUUAGUCACUUGAUCUUUGUAGCUGCUGUCUUUUUGCACAAGUCCUGUCCAACUUUUGACCUCUACAUCUUAUAUUUAAU
Molecule: long non-coding RNA, 786 nt
Organism: Amphiprion ocellaris (clown anemonefish)
Lineage: Eukaryota; Metazoa; Chordata; Actinopteri; Pomacentridae
Source: Ensembl